This is an RNA transcript of Nilaparvata lugens (brown planthopper), 17009 nucleotides long. It is a transcript of the gene named zinc finger protein OZF-like, with no coding region annotated. NCBI's taxonomy places the organism in Eukaryota, Metazoa, Arthropoda, Insecta, Hemiptera, Delphacidae. The transcript is spliced from 5 exons. The record is from RefSeq and is a predicted model, not a curated record.
ACAGAUGUCAUGAAAAAUCUUUUAGUUUUGUUUUGAUUGUACAUUUUUUGUGAUUCCAUAAUAUUUUUAACUAGAACCUAAUUUUAAUACUUUCAAUACGGAAUCAGCUAUAAUAUCCUGUCACAACUGUCAAAGGAAAUGAUAAUACCUUAGAAAGAACAAAAAAAGAGACUCUUACAACAGUUUCCAUAGACUUUCAUUUGAUAGUUUUAUAGGUUAGAUUUUUUCAACUGAUAGGUACGUACCGUAGUUAAAAAAUAAAUAUUCAACUUAGCCUACAUGGCCACAAAGAAGUGUGCAAGUGGGCGGCGCGGAAAUGAUGAAUGCGGAGAAUUAGACCAGUGGGAAGAUCCAAGAAGUUUUGUAGCUGUCAACAUGGUUCUUAGUGAAACAGAAUCUACUGAGGAAGAGGACAAUAAUAAAGAAUCAAGAUGUUGCGCUAGCAUGCAAACAGAGGGACCGGAAAGUGAGAUUGAAGCGACCGCUGGUCGUAAUGAAGAACGCGGCUCGAAUUGCAAUAACGACGGUGAUUUCAACUCGUGGAAUGAUCCCCGGUAUUUUGUGGCUGUCCGCAUGGAACAGAGCAGCGACUACUCACAGAACGACAGUUUGGUGCAAGGACAUGCGGGUGGCACAGAAGGAAUGGCGGGUUCAUUGAAUGUGGCACAAUCCCCACCCGUCAUUGAUCAACAACAGCAACAGCAGGAAUCGCAACCAGCCAAAGCAUACUUCAAGUGCGAAGUGUGUACAGUGGCGUUCGAGAAUGAAGACUGCUACAAGACGCACAUGAAGAUGCACAUUCAGCAGAUUCCCUGCAACGUGUGUGGGCUUUUGUUGCUGGUGGGUGACCUUGAGAAGCAUAUGGAGAUGCAUGCACGUAGCCCUGUGCACAUUUGUCGAGUGUGCAAUGUUGGAUUCCAGUCGAUAGAACAGCUGAUCGCACACAUACGCACGCACAGCAGCAUCUGUCCCAACGACAGGCCGUACAGCUGUCAGCUGUGCGACACCGCCUUUCACAAGAUCGAGGCGUUGCGCGCGCAUGUCAAACAGCACAAGGAAACCGAAAAACCCUAUGUCUGCAUCACGUGUGGAUCGUUGUUUGUGAGCAGUGGCGAGUUGAAGACACACUCCAUGACGUGCAGCAAACAGCCUGAAGAAACUCCAGCAUUUGUUUGUGAAACGUGUCGAAAAUCGUUCAGUGAGAAAGAUGCAUACAUAGCACACCUACGUGAGCAUACAGAUGACAAGCCACACAAGUGUGACGUAUGCAACACGUGUUUUACGCGUAAACGAUACUUGACAAAACACAUGAGAACACACGCAGGCAAACGACGUUAUGAUUGCCCCGUCUGCAGCAGCUCCUUCUACCAGGAAGUUCACCUGAACAUGCACAUGGAGCUGCACCACGUAUCCGAGCGCCCGUUCGUGUGUGACAGGUGCAACGAAGCCUUCACAGAACACGGCCUCCUUGAGGACCACUUGGAAAUGCACCGGCGCAAGGAGCGGUCCACCUUGAGGUGUCCAGUGUGCACCCUGCCUUUCCUGCAGAAGGUCGCCUUCGAUCGACACAUCAGGAAGCAUUUCCAGGAGGAAGAGGAUCGGCUCAGGAAUGCCGCCUUAUGGAAUUAAACUAGUACAAGUUAAGUGAAUUGCAGUUUUGGGUCUUUCCUGUUUGAACCUUGAGGCCGGUUCUAUUGAAAUUUAUAAGGUCACUCAGCCACUGGAGAGCAUCUGGACUAAGAGUGAGGAGACCUGCAGCCCCAGUUGGGAACCUGUAUAGUGGGCACUCAUCAGUAAUAUGGUGCAGCGUUUGCAUUUCACCGCACUCCGCACACCGCAGUCACAAAAAAAUGCUGACUCCGCUAGACCCCAUUUAUGCAUUGUCGCUUUUACCCUACUGCAACCAGUCCUUACCCUAUUUAGGCGCACCCAUGUUUUCCUAGGCAGAGAGAAACCCGUCGGGAGGGCAGAUACGUUGAUUCUAUCUCUAUUCUCACCUCCCAACAGUUGACAUCGCUCUUGCCAUACAGUCAAGGCUUGCUAGUUACUCAUUCUGCUUCUCAGCCAUGGGGGUUUGCGGGAUUUCAGUCUCAGAACUGGUUGAGGGUCGAGAAAUUGAUGAAUGGGGAGAGACUGAUUUCUCUCUAUCUGAUUCCAUAAUCUACUGGUAGAUUUUGAGCGACGGAGAUCUGGCGGUUCUAUGUGCGAGAGUACAGGUAGCCAAUGUUGAGGUGUGGCCGGCAGUGAUCCAGAAACUUUACGCAUAGUCUUAUUUAGCUCAACAUCUAUUAACUUGGUAUGGCAGCUCUCAUGCCAGACUGGUGCGCAGUACUCUGCAACACUAUAGACUAAUGCCAGAGCUGAUUGUAGCAGGACACCAGCUCCUGAUCCCAGGUAGUACUUGCGAGUUUGCUGAUAAAAUUAUUGCGAGUUUGUAUCUUAUUUCUCACCAUCUCGAGGUGCUUUCGGUAUGUGAGGCUGCGGUCUAGUUUUACGCCCAGAUAUUUUGGGCCUCUUCAUUUUUCAAUUUUGUCUUUCCAAGGAAUACACUCAUUGGCUUGUUAGCUUGUGCGUUUGUCAAGUGGAAAGUACUACACACUGUCUUGUUGGGGUUAGCUUUCAAGCACCACUUACCCAAAUAGGUAUUUAUUUUGGACAGAUCUGGAUUUAAAAUUUCUUCAAGUUCCUGAAGAAAGCCUCAUAAAAGUGGACUAAUUAUUCAAUCUGAGUCAGACAGGCCACCAGACUUGUACUUUUCAUUGCUAGAUACUGCUUUUAACAACUUAUGUUCUUUCAUCACAAUUGUAUGGAACUCUGCACAUGAUGUCUUCAUAAAAUUGAAUUGUAUCAACAGUAGAGCCUUGACAGAAGCUACAGACAGUCUAUUCCUCUCCUUUGUCCACUGAGAAUUCAUUAAUGAGAACACUUGCUCUGCAUUUUUUUUCAGUUCCAUCACCCUCUCACAAGUUAGAGAUUUUAAAAUAAUCUCACAUUGCUCAACAGGCACUAUUUCACUAUUUUUCUGUCUCAAAAAAGAAUUCAAAGCUGAAAUUUUAUCAAAAAGUUUGACAUCAUCUACAUUUACUGCACAACCGUUCAAAAACUGAAGGGAAGGAGCCACUUUUUCAUAAUCAACAACACCUUUCAGUAUCAUCCAGUCAAAAAUCUUGAAUUCAUCUAAUGGCUUCAACCACUUAUUUAAGUAGUCAAGGCAAGUGAUAUAUGCAUCUUUCACAUCAUUCAUGGAUGAUUCUUUUACAUCUUCAGUGCAAUUCAACAGCAAUUCUCGCACUUUUAAGGGAACAAAUGUAGCCGCUUCUCUUGCUUUCAAUGUUUCACAGGUCGAAUUCAAUAUUUCCACAAUAUCCAUAACAGAGUUAUUUUCUCUUUCUAUUUUCGCAAUUUGUGGCUGAAAGAUCGACAUCAGAGAAUGAACAAAAAAUAAAUAACUUUCUGCCUGUUCAUUUUCAAAAAAAGCUUUAAUUAUUUUUGGAACUUGAGGAGUUGUCAAAAAGUAUUCUUUUAGAGGCAAAUACAUUUUCAAAAUUCUUUCAAUUGUUGGGAAAAGACUCAGCCACCUCGUUUUACUGUGAUAAAGUAACUUCUGGUAAUUAAUAUCAAUGUAUUCACAAAUAGAUUUUAAGACUUCAGUGUACACGGUAUAUACUGAGAAGAAAUUGAAGAGCUUCAUCACCAAUGACUCUAUAUCAAUUUGUAGAACAUCUGUACCAUGUUUAAUGCAAUUAUGCAAAAUAUGCACUGGGCAACCUACUCCCACAAUUUCCUUACCAAGUUUAUCCUUAAGAAUUGUCAACACAUUCUUCCCUGCUUGCCUGUUGAUCCCUCCAAAAUUUACAUUGGCAUUAUCUGCUGUUAGAUACAUUUUUCAGUCAAGUCAAACUUUUGCAAGGUCUUCAUAAUUAUGUCAGAAAUUGUUUCUACUGUCUCAUUUUGCGUCUGAAUGACAUCCAAUAACUUUAAUUGCAUCCCUCCUUGAGAAUCGAAAAAUUGGAUUAUAACUGGAAAUAUUUUUUCUGAUCCAUGAUUACUGGCAUCUGUUGAUACGCCAACAUAUUAUGUUAUGCUUUGUAACGAAGACUUUAUAUCUUCUAUUAUCCAUGUAGCUAUUGUACCAUUUAUUAUAGCUUCUGUUUUAGUUCUCUGACAAGUAAUAUCUCUAGCAAUGUUAGAAUCAGAAAAAAAUACCUUCAUCAAACGCCCAGUACAGUCCAUGGAGUUGUAAGUCUGGUGAUGCUUGACUGUGUGAAAUGUAAGUGUAGCCUCAGCAGCUGCUUCCUUCAUUUUGCUAUGAGAUGAUGCCGUUUGGAAAAUUUUGUCUAUUUUGUGAGUUUCCUUCACCACUAACAGUUGUUUUUUAUGUUUGUUGCUUUUUAUAUGAGCCUCAAUAUCAGAAGCACCUUUGAAUUUUAUAGAGAUGUAGCUAUCACACACCAUACACAAAACUUCUGACAGCUCUCUUCCCUGUUUCAUAGAAGGAUACCUUUGACAUAAAAUGUCUGUAAAUGUACAAUAACGUUUGCUACUGGACGCCAUCUCACUUUUUUCGAUUUCGUUGCACUGUGUUCUCGUUAUAGUAUUAUAAUCAUAUUAUAUAUACACACUAUCAUAUAAUAACGUAGUAGUUCAAAUCUCCACCUGUAAUAGUAAACUAGCUGUAAUGCCUAGUUUAUACGAUGCCAAUUGGCGAUACAGUUGUCUUGUGACAAUUGUUUUCUAAAAUUUACAGCUGAUGUAAAUUAUCUAUUAAAUCUUUUGAAUUUAAAACAAGGCUACAGUAACAUUAUUAUCAAGGCUACAGUAACCAUAAUUAUAAGAGUCACUGUGAUCCAGGCAUGGCUUAUGGUAAUGGAAACUCUAAUAGACAAUAUAAGCUGUUUGAACCCGGCAUCAGUUGUCUCAUGACAAUUGUCUCGCCAAUUGGCAUCAAAUAAACUAGGCAUAAAUGUACCAAUAACUCCACAAAACUGGCAAACAGCAACUAAACAGGAAUCACUGCAAUUACUAUCACGCUUCAUGCAUAGAAACAUUCAUCACUACAGUACAAAUGGCACUGUCAGUAGUCAUUAUGCAGAUCAUGGGGCAGCCAUGGGCAGAUCAAACCGGUUUUAAAGGAGGGGGCGACACCCCCCCCCUAAAAUGUCUGAAAUUGACACCCCCCCUACCCGGCUACACCCCCCCCCCACAUCCCACACAAUGUCCGGAAAUUUAUUGAAAUGUCAGGGAUUUUGUCAGGAAAAAUGAUUUUUUGAUCUGGUAACCCUAUUCAAAAGUCAGCAUGGCACUUCAAACAUUAUGGCGUUGCAACAGAGUUAGAUUACUUUUUUACCCACUAGGAGUGCUAGUAUCGCCUCAAUUCAAACAUAUGAUGUGAAGAAUGGUAAUUACAACGUUUUGGUGUGUCUAACUCAAUUUCUGAAAAAAUGGCACUUACAGCGUUUUGGAAUGGAACCAUUCAAAUGUUUUUGUGAAGUCAGGUAGCUGUAAAAUUGGAUUGUUUUGUAAUAGAAGUUUUAAUGUUUCAAAUGACUUUUGAUAUUCUGGAUUGUUUGGAUUGAUUUUAACAUCUUUUUUCAAGGCAUGUGUGAGAGGUUUUGCAAUCUUAGCAUAAUCUUUUAUCAUUUUUCGAUAAUAGCCUGUCAAUCCUAGAAAUUGCUUAAUUUAUUUUUCAGCUUUUGGGAUUGGAAAGUUCUUAAUAGCUUCUAGCUUUGAAGGAUUGGGUUGAAUUCCACGUUCGGAUAUGAUAUGUCCUAAGUACAGUAAUUCUUGUUUAAAAAACUCUGUUUUGUCCAGUUGGAUUUUUAGAUUAUGAUCUCUAAGUUGUUUGAAAACUGAUUUUAGAUGUUUCAAGUGUUCCUCGAGAUUAUUGAAAAACACAAUUAUGUCGUCCAUGUAGACUAACACAUUGGGCGUUCUGGAAAACAAAUGUUCAUUGCACGUUGGAAAAUAGCUGGAGCGUUCUAUAAUCCAAACGGCAUUCUCAAAAAUUCAUAAUGUCCAUUCUCAGUUGAAAAGGCAGUUUUUGGAAUUGAUUCCUUUUCCAUUUCAAUUUGAUGGAAUCCAGAAGUGAGAUCUAUCGCUGAAAAAUAGGUAGCCCUACCAAUUUUUCCAAAUAAGUCCUCAAUAUUUGGGAGGGGAUAUUUGUCUUCAAUUGUUUUAUCAUUAAUCUUCCUGUAAUCUAAAAUGACACGUAUUUUACGUUUACCAGAGGUGUCUGGUUUUUUUGGGCACUACCCAAAUUGUUAUAUGGGGAGUUGGAAUGUUGAAUUAUUUUAUUCUGAAGAAGUUUGUCAAUUUCUAAUUCAACGUCCUCCCUGAACACUUGAGGGUAUCUAUAAUUUCUAGAAUAUACAGGGAUUUCGUCAGUAGUGUUGAUUUUGAAUUUCAACAGAUUAGUACUACUUGUCAAUUCAUCAUGUUCACGUUUGAUGAUUUCAGGAAAAUUCCAUAUUAGAUUUAUAAUAUGUUUCCGCUCUUCGACAUUCAUAUGGUCCGUCCGAAGAAGUUUGGGAAUUUCUCUUAUAAUAUUCGAUUUGUUUGAUACAUCUGAGUUAUCAAUUUCAUCAUUGUCAAAAAUAGUUUCUAAUUCUUCUAUCUCCAUUGGCUCGGGGCUUAUGGUCAUGAGCUCAUUGGAAUACACUAUGCACUUACAUCUAUUUUCUUCUAUACUAACAAUACUUUCUUCAACGUAAUAACUUUCAUGAGAACUGGUUUAAGUAGUCCUGUCUUGAGAUUAGGAAUCGACCCAACUGGUACAGUAACAACAUUAAAUCCUGGUUUCAAGUGAAUUUGUUCAUUAGAGUUAAUUACUGAUAACAACAGUUUCGAAAUAGUACGAUAAUCUAACGUGUUGUUUGUAUAAUUUACAUUGGCUUUGAGUUCUUUCAAAGUGUCAUGACCUAAUAAGAUAUUGUAUCUUGUUGAAAAGUCAUACACGUACAUUUUGAUUUGUGAACUUCCUGGAAACACAGUAUUUGAGUUCAUAAAAAUUUAUCCAUUUCCACCACUUUCACCGGCUGGUGUUUUUACUAUGAACUUUUCUUUAUAUCUGGUCACAUUGGGUGGUAUGAUAGAGGGGUUCACAUAGUUCUUUGACGACAAAAUAUGGGAGCGACUUAUUUAUGAUAUUCAAUUCAAUUUUUUUGGGGGUGUUUCCGCUGAGUAUGUUGGGCCUACCCCUAAAAAAUGAGCCUGCAUUUUGUUGAAUGCUUCAGUAAGUGAAGUUAUCUGGUGUUGCAUGCUUUGGAUUUCGUUUCCGAAAGGAUGAGAUGAGUUGUCUGUCAAGUCAUUGUGCAUGUUUUGGAUUCUGUUUCCAAAAAGAUUAGAUGAGUUAUCUGUCAAGUCAUCUUGCAAAUGAUGCACUUCAAAUGGAGAUUUUGAGUUCAGUUUGAAACGAUUAGAAGGAUUUGUUUGAACUAUGUGCAUGCUGACAGUGUUUUGUGAAUCUUACUAUUAUGUGGUUGUCUGUAUUGAGGAUUGUUUUGCACAGGCCUCGAUUGGUAAGGGAAUUUAGCAAAUUGAUUUUGAGGAAAAUUUUGUUGAAUGUUUGUGUUCUGGGGGAAUGUUUGCUGUGAUCCAUUAUUCUGUUGGAAGAAAUUCGGUACUCGAGGUUGCAAGAAGUUGUUAGAAAAUGCUCUGUUGCUUGCUUGAUAAGCAUGAGUGAAUGUGUUUGAUCGCAUUGGCAUUUGAUUAAAAGCUCUUGAAUCAAUUUUAUUGAUAGUACUGAUAGUUGAUUUGAAGUUCAAGCUCCUUAGAACAAUACUACAGUCAUUAAUAAUCUUAUGUCUAGCAUUGUCAAGAUCGUGAAUUUGGAGGAUUUGCAAAUGAGAGCCCAAAGUUGGGUGUACUCCAUGAAUCAAUGUACAGGUGAGAGUUGCGUUCAACUGCUGCAUUAGAUUUGUCAAAAGUUCACCUUGGAUACCAUCUAGUUUAUAUUUAGUCAACACAGUUGUGCGUUUUUCAUUCAGGAGAUUAAUGAAUUCGAUCAGGUGUUCAUUGGAAUAGGAUCUCAUGAAAGUAAUUUCUGCAAUUAGGUCUGGACCUGUUGUCAGCGAAAUUUGUUUUUAGAGCAGCUAUCAGCUCUGUUACAGUUGUACAAUUGUUAUUAAAAACAACUGAUUCUGCGGGUCCUGAAAGACGGCUUACGGCUGCCCUGAAAAGGAGCCAGUGAUUUUCUGAUUUUUCGACAAUGUUUUCACUGCAAUAGGACACCAAUAAUUCAUUACAAGUACUAAUAAAAUGUGGUAGCUUAUAGCAAGUACCAUCAUAAUGGGGUAUGAAUUUAAGAAUGUCAUGAGGAAUUUGUUUCGAGAUAUUAGGCAUUGUAGGGUUUGGUUGAGGAAGAGUUAUAACGAAAUUACUCACAGUCGAUUGAGGAUGGUGGGUGAUGUUCCAGUUGUCGUCGGCGUCGGUGCCGUCUUCUCCUUCAGAUGAUGUAUGGACAGCAGGAAUCCUCCUGUAGGUGGUGAGAUCUCUGUCCCUCUGUAGAGUCCUCUCGUCUCCUGCGGUGGCUAGCGUGGGGUUGAGCUAACUGCUAGGCUGGAUACGUUUACAGCGUGAUGGUGAUACCUACCUUGCGUGAUGCCUUGCUACCCAGCGUGAUGGUAAUAUUUACCUUGAUGGUGGUUUUCCAGUGAGAAGUACUUGAAGUCGAUUUCGUUUUUGUAGUUUGAGUUGAUUUACACUUAUUAACACUGGUGAAAGUUAAGUACUUGUUGAAGAAAUUUUUGAAAGUUUGAGUUUACUCUGAUAACACUUGACUUUGUUUUGUUGGAGAAUAAUUGUCUAGUUGAGUGGUAGAUUUUGGAUUUUGAAGUCGAGUCACUUUCACUAUGAGUUCCUCAUUGGAGAAAAAUAUAUGGGUUGGUUCACGGAUGAAGAUGUGAAACUCAAAGUUUUUUCGUUGCACAAGAUAAAAAGUCUUGUAUCUGAGUUUAAUGAACGUGGAUGGAUACAACGAUAAAACUUUCUGCGACAUAAGUUCGGGCGCCAGUUAAGUGAUUGGAUGACACAACUGAGUUUUUAAAAAUUGAAACUUUAUUAACACUACAACUACAGAAAAUACCAAAUUAAAGAUUCGGGAGCUGAGUGCUCUUGUCAAGUGAUUGAGUAGAACUAACUGAAAAUAAUCAAUUGAGACAUAAAGAAGACAAUGCAUAGUCAGCUAUAUUCUAUAACAAUAGGGUUGUAAUACUACUACUAUAGAUAUUUAACUAAUGACCAACGUUCACAGGAAUUACUCAGUGUCUUAUACCCUCCGUGUGUAUGCUACCUUUUUCUCGGUCAGAGUGUAUGCAGUGUCCAACAGACACAGAUUUCCUAUUUUCUAAUUUUUAAGAUAUAUCUCAAGUUUAAAUUAAUUGAGAGGGAUAAGAAAAAGUAUUAGAAUGACUGAAUAGAUCAUAUAUCAUAAUAGAAAAACCAAAUAUGAUGACAAAAUAUGAAAUAUGAUACUGAAAAUAUAAUUGAUAGAGUCAUUUGCAAAUCACUCACGAUUAUGCAAGCACAUGAUACAUAUUUUAUGUGAACAUUCAAGGCAGAUUGGUUUUUCACAUUCUAUGCACUUGUAUGCAGUAUUUCGAUUCUUCUUGUAAGAACAAUUGCUGCACUUUUUUUCCUCUCCAUUUUAUCUGAAGGAACUUCUCCAGGAUCCUGCUUCUGGGGUUGUUGUUCUCCAUGUGCAACUUCAGAGAUGAGUGAUCGCAGCUCAGAUCCCAAUGUUGGUGGUAGGCGGUCUUCUAAAUGUGGUUUUAUGAGGCUGGUGGCAAUUUCCUCAAUGAAGUCAAAUCUGUCCAAGUCUUUGGCCCUCCUGAAGCACAGAUACAGGAUGUGACUGUUUGUAGCAGCAAUACUGAAUAUUCGGAAGAAUAUGGCCACAGGCCAUCGAAGAGUUCGCUGGAUUGAUGAAUAACUGGCACACUUCUGGUCUAAACUGUCAAUGCCACCCUUUGUUUUAUUGUAAAAAGUGUUUAUUUCAGUUUUGUUCUCUUCAUGAUCCCACCCCAUCUCAUGAUGCAUUGAUGAGAGAAAAAUCACUGCCCUGUUAUGAUGUUUAGGAGGGACAUAGCUAAGCAAUGUAAAAUCUUCUGUGAAACCAUACAGACAUGACCAAGGAACCCGUUUUCGAUCUGGAAGGAAUUCCUUGGGUACCUCCCACUUGAAUUUUCUGAGAGUCCCUACAAGAGUUAGACCUCUCUCUUUCAAAGAUUGAGCCAACUCAAUGGAAGUAAACCAAUUGUCCAUGGUGAUAUUGCGGUUACUCCCAAUAAUAGGUUGUAUCAGAAGAAGCAAAGCCUGUGUUGGUUUCUGGAGUGUUUUUUCUUGCUGAGUCAAUCCCUCUCCAUCUGCUCCUUUUCCAGCAUAAAUAUAUCCAUUGUAGAAGUAGCAUCACAGAGAGUCACAAUUUUUAUCCCAUAUUUUUCUGGUUUAUUGGGCAUGUACAUGAUGAACCCACAAUUACCCAUGUACCCAACCAACUGCUCAUCAAUAACUGCAUACUCUCCAAUGCAAUACAAACUUUUUGAAUUUGCUGAGAACAACUCAAAAAAAUCAUCAAUGGGAGCAGUUUUCUUAAUUUUUUUUCGUUCCUCAGUUGUACCUGGAUCAUCAAACUGCACAUAUUCCAGAAGUGUUUCAAACCUCCUAGAGGACAUUAUUGCACAAUAUACUGGGUGCUUCAAAAAAAUGUAUACACACUUUGAACAAUCGUAGUUUUACCACUCUACAAGGCUAAUGUUAUAUUUCUUCACCAGGUGGCAGCAUAAUCGUCCCUCUAUGUUAUAUUGUUAGUUGGAAUUUGUAAUAUCAACAUGGCAGACGUACAUUUGAGUUUUGAAGAACAUAAGCAGGAUAUUAAGUGGUACUGGAAGUUUGAGAAUGUAAAUGAAGUUCAAAGACAGUGGAGAAGGGAGUAUGAUACAGAACCACCUUCAAGAUUAACAAUUACAUGCAUACGAGACAAAUUCGAAGUUCAUGGAACAGUGUGUGAUGUGCAUAAAUGUCAUUCAGGUCGGCCUUGAACAGCUACAAGUGAUGAGUCAUCAACGGCAGUCUUGGAACUGUUUCAACGGUCUCCUAACAAAUCUUCAAGGCAAGGGGCACGUGAAAGUGAUGUAAGUGCUAGCAGCGUGCUACACAUUCUGAAGAGAGGCAAGUAUCGUGUUUACAUUCCAAGGCUGGUGCAACAGCUAAAUGAUGAUGAUCCAGAUCGAAGGUUGCAAUUUUGUGAAUGGAUUCAGGAGAUGGUGAUACGUGAACCAGGAUUUAUGGGUAGCAUCAUUUGGUCGGAUGAAGCCCAAUUCAAACUUAAUGGAACUGUCAAUAGGCACAAUUGUGUUUACUGGGGUGAAGAAAAUCCUCACAUUACAAUUGAAAAAGCUGUAAAUUUUCCUGGUGUAAAUGUGUGGUGCGGUUUGUCUUCAAGGGGACUCAUUGGACCUUUUCGAUUUGAAGGCACUGUAACCGGUAUUAAUUACCUAACAAUGCUUGCUGAUUCCAUAUUUCCUGCCAUUCGUGCAUUAUACGGUAAUGAUGAUUUUUAUUUUCAACAAGAUGGUGAAAAGAUGGCACUAUCACAGGGACGUACGAGCUUACCUGGAUCAAAAUUUGCCAGGCCAGUUGAUAGGACGCAGGUGCCAAUCGAGUUUCCAGCACGCUCUCCAGACCUUACACCACUGGAUUUCUUCUUGUGGGGCACAGUAAAAGAUGAGGUGUACAAACUUAAACCAUGUAACCUAGACAUUCUUUGGAAUGAGAUUCAAGCAGUGUGUAGAGAAAUCUCAUUGGACGUUUUGAUAUGAUGUACAGAAUCAGUGGUGACUAGUACUCAGAAUUGUAUUGAUGCUGCAGGUCACCAAUUUGAACAGUAUUAACAUUCGUUAUUUAUGUUUCAUUGACAUUGGACUUUCAGCUUUCUAUUUUCCUGAAAUUUAACUUUGUAGAACAUAAAUAAAUUUUCUAUGAAAGUUCAAAGUGUGUAUACAUUUUUUUGAAGCACCCGGUAUAGGCCUUCCAAAUAAUUUUGAGGUGUAUGAUUUCCUUAAAUUCUCAUUGCUCAAUUUGUAAAUCAUAGUGAACAUCAGGUAACCAAUGAAAUCUUUCAUCUCAUUUUUGGUUGUUUCUUUGAGAUUAUACUUAGCUUGCUGAUACUCCUUACUUGCUCGAAUUAUUGCGAAUUUUCUACUUGUCCAUAGAACCAUUUCAUCGAUCAUUUGAUCUAUAAUGAGUAAAGACCAAAUUUCUGAUGGAGCAUGAGUUUGUCCCAAAUUACGCACCUCAGCACUCAUACCUGGCAAACAAUUUCCCAGCCGAAUUAUGUUGUGAGCAAGUGUGCGUCUUGUUCUUGGAGGCUCUACUGCAGACCAUCUGAAUGCAACAGGAUUGACUUGUGUUGUCCUUCCAAAAUAGAACUCUGGUUCCUCUGUUGCAGGAGGUUUGCCUCUCAGUGUGGGUUGUUGUUCACUUUCUCCCUCUUCUUCUUUUUCUUCUCCAUCAUCAUAAUCUACAGCCUCAUCAACUGAUGGUGCAAAAAGCUCAGGUGAAGGAGGAUUCUCAUCAGGCUCUAGAGAACAAGGAAGUGGUACAGUUGGAUCAUUUUCAUCAAUAUCACUUCCAUAAAUUUUGUCUGGGAGAUCAGAUGGGGUAUCUUGGAAGAGCAGCUGGUGAAGUUUUACAUCAAAUUCUGGGUCGUUCAAAUCAUGACUGCCCUUUGAAGAACCGUCCAUCUUCUUAUAGAGAUAGAAGUCUAUUCACUAAUAAAAACUGAAUGUCCAUCCACUAAAAAGCAUAUUGCAUACAUAAAUUCGUAGAACCGACCAUCUGAAAUCGGAAGUUUAUUUACUAAUGAAAAUCAAAAACCUAUUCACUAAUAAAAACUAAAUAAUGUCUAUCCACUAAUAAUUCAUGUAUCCAGCUUAUGGUGGGUGUGUAUGAAGUGUCUGUUGGACAUGCAUUUGAUGUUGGUGAGUGUGUAUGCAGUUCUAUUGGACACAGAUCUUUGUCACUGAACUUUUCGAACACCUUACUAUAUCACUGCAUUGAGUCUGUCUCUCAACUGACAGCCACAAUGUGUUCAGAAAGAGUGGGAGAGAAGGUACUGAGAGGAAGGGGUAAGCAUCCUGAACAGUUUGGCCAACAUAAUCAUUCGAAAAUUGCUAGGUGUCUGUCAGACACUGCAUACACACCGAGGGUUUAAGGCAGUGACAAAGUCAUUGAUACUCUCACCUGGCUGCUGCACUCAAGUGAAGAAUCUGUGACUUUCCACUGUCAAGUUUUUUUGUGGGGAGGAAAUUUUCUUGAAAAGUUGAACCAACUCCUCAAAUUUAAUUACAUCUGAGUCUUUGUUGAAGGAGUUGUAAACCGCCAGCCUUGAGGUCCAAUCAGGGCAAGAAACAAGGCCACUUUUUGUUUAGAUGGAGCCUCAUCAAGGUUUGGGCCAAUUAAAAAUAUCUUAAAUUGUUGAAGUCAGUUCGAAAAGUUAUUUGCCACAUUGCCGGAAAGGCUAAGAGUCGUUUUAAGGGUCUGUUUGCACCUGACACCAUUUUUUAGGUUGAUUGAUCAUUCGAUUUUAGAUUCAUAAAUAGACUUUAUUGACAUUGAGAAUAAAAUGACAAUGUGACAUGCCAUAACCUCCAACCACCAGUCAUGACGGCCCCUGGCGCCUAAACAGAUGGUUCACUAUUGCUAACCUAUACACCUGGACUUCCAGGCUAUUACCAGUUGGUUGGAAUGUGUAUAAUGUAUAGUAUGUGUGUAUAGUCUUUUGUUUAGUUAUGGUUAGGAGCAAUCCAUUGCAAGCUAUAAUUAUUAAUGUUGCUUAUUCCAGGGCUGCUACUAUCUUGUUUUGGGUUGACUGCCAACUGUUGUGUGGCACUAGUACAGUAGUGUCAUCUGCAAAGAGUAUACAAUUGUUUCUGCUGUUGAUUUCUUUAGGAAGAUCAUUGAUGUACACUAGGAAGAGGAGUGGUCCAAGUUUAGACCCUUGGGGUACACCUCGAUUUACAGAUAGGAAGUGAGGAUUUAUAUUGAAUGAUGUUAUCUUUUUGGUGGUCGAUUGCUAAAUAUCAUAUUGCUUACGAUGUGAUAGAUAAUCCUCCAACCACAGCAGAGGUUUAGCAACUAUUCCAAGGUUUUCCAAUUUCCCUUUCAAUGUAUUCCAAUGCAGGGUAUCAAAUGCUUCAGGAGAUGAUUGAAAAGGCCAGAUACUAAUUUUUUGCCCUAUAAGUUAUUUAUGUUAUUACACAGCUCUGAUAUCGUUGAUGAUGUGCUGUAUCCCUUUCUAAACCCAUGCUGGUAUCCUGUUAUUCGAUUAUUGGCUUCAAAAUGCUUGAUAAGUUGAUUGUAGAUUACACGUUCUAUUAUUUUUGAAGUAAUUGGCAGGUUGGCAAUAGGUUUGCAGUUUUUAGGGUCCGACUUGUCUCCUUUUUUAAAUUUUGGAAAUACAGUAUCGUGGAUAUUUUUAGGCUGUGAGGUAGGGUUGCCUGAUCGAUGGAAGCAUUAACAAUGUCCAGUAAUGGUGUUCUCAUUCACAGUAUCACCUUCCCUGAUGAGUUGUUGCCUUGAGCUUCUUAGGUAGUUUAUUCAGUUGUGUGUGUGUAAUAGUUUCGAAUUUACUGAGUGCUGGUGUUGUAUUUGGUUGACUUGCACAAUCCAGUACUGUGGCACAUGCUGGUUGCACAGUAGCUGGAUAAAGGUAGCAUUUAGGAUAUUACUGACAUGAUAGGGAUCCCUUAAAAUGAGGUUGUUAUAUGGACUAGGGUAAGAUUAUCAUUGUUGAUUGUUAAUUUCUCAACUAUUUCCUCAUUUAUAACAAUUAUUUUGUUUUGUUAUCUGUGCUGUAUUUGCUAUUUAUGAAAUACAUUUUCGUUUUCUUUACUUCAGCAUCAUACAGCUUUUUGAGUGCCAUAUAAUUGGAUCUAUCCUCUUGUGAGCCUGUCACAACAAGUCAGUCAUAUGCCUGGUUCAAGUCCUUUUUUCAGAGCCAUAGUUUCUCUAUCUGUAAAAUUAUAAUAUUUUGAUAACAAUAUUUUUUGGGGUUCCCUUGCGUCUUUUGGGUGUGCCUGCUAUAAACGAGAUUUUUUUGGUUCAAAUCAAAUCAUUUAUUGUUAAAAAACGUUGGAAAAUGUUACAACAACGUCAAGAUAUUAACUAAAAAUAUUAACAUAAAAACAUAUAACACGCCAAUCAAAAUUCAACUGCGAAAAAUUCAUCCACCGUAUAAAGACAUUUCCCGAUUAAAAAGUCCCUCAAAUACGUCCUGUAAGAUGCGAUAUCCAUCACUCUCAUGGACUCAGGUAGGCAGUUGAAUAACUUUAUGGACAUUUGCUGCCAGCUCUGUUUAUAUACAUAGUAACGGCAGUGUCUGACUAACUUUGUAUUUGUUACAAGUGUUGUGACUAUGGAAGUCAGAGUUUAUUUCAAAAUCUUGAAUGUUUCUCCUAAUGUAAAGCAAACAUUCAAUUACAUAUAAAGAUGGCAAUAUUAAGACACCCCUUUCUAUAAACAAAUUCCUACAUGGUGUGCGAGGGGGCUUUCUACAUAAAAUGCACCUCAAGGUUCAAGUCAAGGUUCCCUUGACAUGGUUUCAUCAAUGUUCUGGCGCAACACCAUAGCAAAGACUCUGUGUUUGUCUUCUGAUGAUUUUUGUUUAGUCACCUGCCCCCUGGGAACUUGAAUCACAGACUAUAAAUUUUCAGCUACUACUUGGAAGUCUAUAAUGUUGUGCAUAAGAAGAGUAAUCUCUUCUUCAAAUGUGAUGGAGUAUGCUUAUUCAUAGACGAGAAUUUAAAGAUAGUAUUAUUAGACAUACAAAUCGAGGGAAGGGUAAAAAUAUGAUGAGAGCACUACAUUCGAUUCUAUGGAAUAAAAACUUGACCAAAAAACAAUAAAAGAAUUUUACUGGAUUAUUUUUUUUUAAUAUCAAUUUUCAUUGCUGUUCCUUUAGAAUAUAUAAUUAACAAAUGUUUAACCAAAGGAUACUAAUUAGAAGAUGCUAAAAUAAUACCCAUACAUAAAGCCGGGGAUCUCUGCAAUCCAAAAAACUAUAGAUUCAUGAGUUUAAUAAGCAAUCUUGCUAAAAUAUUUGAAAAAAAUAAAUGUGCUUCUUAGAAAAACAUGAUAUAAUAUGCAGUCAUCUAUUUGAAUAAAAUAAUUCGUCAUCUGAAGUAAUGAAGUGGUGCCAAAAAUCAAAUUAUUUCCUUAUACACUAUGGUUACAGGAUCCAAAAUAGCUAGAAUUAUAGUAGCCAACUAUUGAAAUAUGACUAAAAAGAUAAACCAGGUCCUUUUACGAGAGUUGUCUUCAUUGUUAGGUCUCAAACUUUCCAAUGUACUCUCGUAACUAGUUUUCUAGUAAAAUGAUAAUUAUUUGAUCUAUUAGCAAAUUAUGUUUUUUUCAUAUUCUCUAUUCAAGUUUUAUCUAUGAAGUAGUUAGAUUUUAAAAGGUAUAUAAGCGUAUUUUACUGAAUAAAUAUUGUUGAUAUUAGUUUUAUAAGAUGUUAUAUUGUGACUGUGAUCUAGGGCAAUUGAAUGACGAAUUCGUGCUAUUAAUUGUUAUUUUAUUCUGUAAGUAUAAACUGAAGUUCUUCAUUGUAAAUAGAGAGAUUUAUUCUAGUUGAGAUGGAUUAUUGUAUUUAGAUCUUAUUCCUCUUUUAUAAGUAAAAUAUAGUAAGUGUAUAUUAAGUGUAUCAUCAUGUUUAAUGUGAUGGGACCUACUAAAAUUCAAAAGUUGAAACUAGAGUUUAUUACAAAUGAGUUGGCUAUGUAUUUAUCAAAGUGUAUUAUCCAAUAACACACUACCACUUCCACAAAACUAUCGAGCUGUUACUGUACCAUACAGAUUGAUAUUAAUCUUCUCAAGAAUUUAUUAUAUCCAUGAAAUUAUUAUUAUAGUGUAUCCAUGAAAUACAGAAAUUUAAAUCGCAAUAAUAUGGAUGUAAUCUCUGUGCAAUAUCAUAUUAUAUUAUGCUUCAAUUAUUAAAACUGUUGGACAGAAAA